RNAcentral lists this ribosomal RNA (448 nucleotides) under uncultured bacterium. Its description in RNAcentral is "bacterial SSU rRNA". It matches the Rfam family "Bacterial small subunit ribosomal RNA", at positions 29 to 524 of the family's 1533-position model. The record is from RNAcentral.
AGCGAACGCUGGCGGCAGGCCUAACACAUGCAAGUCGAACGGACCCUUCGGGGUUAGUGGCGGACGGGUGAGUAACACGUGGGAACGUGCCUUUAGGUUCGGAAUAGCUCCUGGAAACGGGUGGUAAUGCCGAAUGUGCCCUUCGGGGAAAGAUUUAUCGCCUUUAGAGCGGCCCGCGUCUGAUUAGCUAGUUGGUGGGGUAAUGGCCCACCAAGGCUACGAUCAGUAGCUGGUCUGAGAGGAUGACCAGCCACAUUGGGACUGAGACACGGCCCAAACUCCUACGGAGGCAGCAGUGGGGAAUCUUGCGCAAUGGGCGAAAGCCUGACGCAGCCAUGCCGCGUGUAUGAUGAAGGUCUUAGGAUUGUAAAAUACUUUCACCGGUGAAGAUAAUGACUGUAGCCGGAGAAGAAGCCCCGGCUAACUUCGUGCCAGCAGCCGCGGUAAU